GGGAGUGGAAGGGUCCCGGUGGGCCUCGCGGUCUUCAAAACCGCAGUGGGGCGGAGGUCCCGUCCCAGGUGGGUUCGACUCCCAUGCACUCCCGCCA
This 97-nucleotide transfer RNA is filed under the name Dehalococcoidia bacterium. RNAcentral describes it as "tRNA-Sec". It matches the Rfam family "Selenocysteine transfer RNA". The record is from RNAcentral. Lineage: Bacteria; Bacillati; Chloroflexota; Dehalococcoidia.